This 1246-nucleotide ribosomal RNA is filed under the name Zeacumantus subcarinatus. RNAcentral describes it as "partial 16S ribosomal RNA". The stretch from base 649 to 1246 matches the Rfam family "Archaeal large subunit ribosomal RNA", at positions 1423 to 2681 of the family's 2987-position model. Lineage: Eukaryota; Metazoa; Mollusca; Gastropoda; Cerithiidae. The record is from RNAcentral.
UUUAUAUAGUUAUAAAUCAAAUUAAUUAAAAAUGAAAUCUGAAGCAUCAAAAAGUUGAGUAAUGGAGAAAAAAAAUUAAUUUAACUAUCAAGAAGUACUGUAAAGGAACCAAGCUAAAUAUAAAAAAUUAGUCUAAUUUACGUACUUUUUGCAUCACGGCUUAGCAAGAGUUGACCUAAAAUUUUAGAUUCUCGAAAGUCAGCGAGCUAUCUUUUCCCUGGAAAAUUAGACCAAGAUUUAUAACAGAAGACUAAAAAUGUGGCAAAAUUUUAGCAAGAGAAAAAGAUAGAAAUGAAAUUUUAUUCGCGCUGGCGAUAGCUAGUUUUCCUAGAAACGUAUAGAAGUACGGAAAUAAAAUCAAGUAAUAGAAAUAUUGAAUUCUUUUACUAGUUUUAUAAAUAAUUUUUUUAAGGAUAAGCUUGAGAAUAUAUAGUAGUAAAUAUCUAUAAAAUUUGGAAUGUAGGCUUGAAAUUAGCCAGCAUGUAAAACUUGUUAUAAAGUAGCAUUUUUAGAUAACAAAAUAAAUAUAUUUUUACUCUAGUUCUUAUAGGAAUAAGAAAUAAAACUAUUUGAUUAAUUAACUUAUGCUAAGAUGAGUAUUAAAACUUUAAAUAUUCUUUAAGAACUAAAUAAUUUUAAUUCUUACUUAAAUCACAUUUUAGUUAAAAUUAAAUAAAAAAAAGGAACUCGGCAAAAUAAGUUGCUUCGCCUGUUUAUCAAAAACAUGGCUCUUUGUAAGAGAAAAAUGGAGAGUCGGACCUGCCCAGUGAAAACUUUUAACGGCCGCGGUACUCUGACCGUGCAAAGGUAGCAUAAUCAUUUGCCUUAUAAUUGAAGGCUUGUAUGAAUGGUUUAACGGGAGCAAUACUGUCUCUUUUUUAAUUUGUAGAAUUUAACUUUCAGGUGAAGAGGCCUGAAUAGCAUUGAAGGACAAGAAGACCCUAUCGAGCUUAAAAGAAAAACAGAGAAGUAAGCUAUAAUUGUAAAUCUAGAACUGUUCAAGCUUUUUGGUUGGGGCGACUAAGGAACAAAAAAAGCUUCUUCAUGAAAAUAAGCUUAUAAGCAAUGAUCCAGUAAAUCUGAUCAAAAGAAUUAGUUACCGUAGGGAUAACAGCAUAAUCUUCCUUGAGAGACCUAAUCGAAAGGGGGGGUUGUGACCUCGAUGUUGGACUAGAAUAUCCUAAAGAUGCAGAAGUCUUGAAAGGUUGGUCUGUUCGACCAUUAAAAUUCUACAUGAUCUGAGUUC